This 76-nucleotide transfer RNA is filed under the name Bacillota bacterium. RNAcentral's name for it is "tRNA-Val". It matches the Rfam family "tRNA". From Rfam's summary of the family: Transfer RNA (tRNA) molecules are approximately 80 nucleotides in length. Their secondary structure includes four short double-helical elements and three loops (D, anti-codon, and T loops). Lineage: Bacteria; Bacillati; Bacillota. The record is from RNAcentral. RNAcentral also lists the same sequence under 2 other names.
GGGCAGUUAACUCAGUUGGUAGAGUAUCUCUUUGACGUGGAGAAAGUCAGGGGUUCGAGUCCCUUACUGCCCACCA